GCUAGCAGCUAGCAGCUAGCAGCUAGCAGCUAGCAGCUAGCAAUCAGAGCGGUAACGUACUCCUAAACGUGAACAUGGCCGAAGGGAAACGAGCCAAGACCUACCAUUUUCACCCUGAAUGGGAGGAUGAUUUUUUUUUUUUUUUUUGCUUACUCUCAUUCAGAUUUACGGAGCUGUUGCCUGAAAUCAAGGACUUCCUGAAGCUUUCAAAACGUGGAUUACCAUAGAAAGCUAGAGGACCACCUGUGGCUUUUAGAUUCAUCUUCCCUCACUGAUCUGACUGGCGAGUUCAAUGAAUUGAAUUUAGAGCUGCAGGGUAAAGAUGUAGUCAAUGUGAUGAGUUCAGUGAACACGUUUAAAAGCAAGCUACAGCUGAUGUCCAGCAGGCUGCAGCGUGGUAACCUGCACAACUUCCCUCACAUGCAAGCAGAACUACAACGUCAAGGUAAAGGUGUGACACAGCUUGACAGUGCACGUUAUGAAGAGCGUGUUCAGAGCAUCUCCUCAGAGUUUGAGAGACGUUUUACUGACUUUGCAUCCAUCGAGCCUGUAGCCAGCUAUAUGUGUUAUCCAUUUGGUGCAAGUAUUGAUGUUGGUGACAUUACUGCCAAAGUCAAAUCACUUUUUGACUUGGAAAGCUCCGCUCUUGAGGACGAGAGUCUGACAAAGCCAGAUCAACAUCUGCUCAACCUGGAGAGCAUGUGGUGUUCUGGAAACUACUGGUGGAGGAGAAGUAUCCCAAUCUCAGAAGAUGUGCCUUGAACCUGACAGCUUUUUUUGGAUCAACGUAUUUGUGUGAGUCUGCUUUCUCACACAUGACGAUCAUCAAGUUCAAGCACAGAUCAACAAUGACAGAUGACCACCUUGCAGCCUGCAUACGCCUUGCAACCAGCUCCUGCACUCCUGACUAUGAGAAGCUAGCCUCCUCCUCCUAGUGCCAGGUCUCCCACUAAGGGUUCGGAGGGCAGCCAAGGCAAGUCAACCACAGAACAGAAUGUUCAGCGACGGGCUGCAGAAACAUGAUUACCUUCACCUCCAAAGGAAGAAGAGACAGAGUGGCUUUUAUUUUACUCAGGUGCCAAAAAAAAAAAAAACACUCCCUCCACUCUUCCCUCUUCCUUUACCUGCUCCCCUCUUCCGCUCAACAUCUGUCCCUUGGUGACAAGCUCACUUCAAACUGCUCAGUGCAACCUGUCUCAUCUCAGCACACACAUCUGAAGAGCUAAAAGCCUCAAUAUGGUCAGAUUCCAUUUUGAAAAUAAUAGCAAUUUCACAACAACCCUUCCAUUACCACACAUUUGUCAAGAGGGAGAUACUGGAAAGGCAGAAGGAACACAAGAGAGAGAAGGCAUCUCCAGGGAAAUCCCUUCACAAGCAGAAAAUGAGACAUGAAUUGGAAUACCUUCCAUUACUCCCAUAAUUUGCAGCUGGAAGAAAAUACAUCAAGGAAGGCAUUAUAAUUCAAAGAGAGGCGAGCAGUGGCUUAGCGAAGAAAGUUUCACUGAAAGCAGAGAAGGGAGCCAGAAAUGGCACAUAAAGUGCAAGUAAUGAUGGUUUCUUUUAUGCCGCUGUUUAAAUUUAAAAUUUAAAGAGAUUUUAUGAAAAUUUAAGCUUAAAAUUUCCUUCUCACUGUUGAAUACAGCUACUCGAAAGAAGGGACAAGAGAUAGAAGAUCAAAGUGAUCCCGAACGCAUGACAUUAUCUAGGCUGAGCCCUUGAGCAACUUCAGUUCUCCAGCCCUCCGUGUUUUGCUUAUAAAAGCGUUUGGCACUUUCUUAUGAUGUUAUAUGAGGAUAUAUCACAAUCACAUGGCUGAAAUGAUACAGAAAUUGAACAUAUGUGACAACGGCAAAGAAAUUGUCAGCAAUCUUUAAAACUGCAGUUUUUAGCCCAGCUCCAUUCAACCUUCACAAAUAGGAUCAAGGACCUUGUCAUUAACGUAAUGAUCAGUGUUUUUCUCCUUCAGAGCAGCUUUCGUCAAUCAACUUUUCAAUCAGCAGCGACUUUUCCAACUGACCUUUGAGCCAGACACUAUGGUUGAGGUUACAAGCCAAAUGCGAAGCUUCUUGCUAAGUCCUGCCACUUCCAGAGUCUCGUGUAUUCAAGGACGUCUCUGACACGCAUAACGAGAAAAAGGACACAAAGUUUAAGCUGCGAGGACGGUUAAUUCUCGCCACUGUCGGGCGACAUUCAUGCAGCUGAUAAGCGGCGUGAUGUGGUCCACUGAGGGGUCUGCCUGGGAGAUAAAGACCUUGCGCUCUGCAGUCCAUCUGACUGUUCCCCGUGGUGUUGUGAUAAGAAUAUUUUUGGUGGUUAUUUUUCAAGCUUUUCCUCCCCUUCGUCACUGACAGAAUGCAAAAGUGCUUCAUUUUCUGAAGUGAUAUCUGUCCUGGGAUCAGGACGGAGCGUUUGGUGAGACGAUAAGGUCAAGUGAAGAGGGAGGUGAUGGAAUGACUUUAGUUUAACAAGCACAGCUAAUGCUUUAAACUGAAUUUUAAUAGCAUCUGUUCAACAAAAAAAAAAAAACUCCAGCUAAAUUUCAUCACCCAACAUGCACCAUUCAUGUCCUGACAAUCUAAGCAAACAAUCCACCCUAUGUGAUCACAGUUGUAGAGAUAAUAAAGCUGGAUAUGCGUGAUUACCCACAUAAUGCGCUGCUACUUCAGGAAAAUGUGAAAUGGCUCAUGACUCGCUUUACCUGUUUGGGUGUACAAAGCAGCAGCGCAGGAAUAUCCAUCAAAGCAGGAUAAAGCCCUAAAUUAUACAGAGACUCAGACAAGAGCAUCUGUCUGACCUUCUGGAGUCUUUUAUGACUUCAAGCAGCAUCAAAGGUCAGAGCAAAGAUAGAAGCAAAUUGCACAAAGAACCUCCCUCUCAACAAACAUGAAAUGCACAGAUAAAAGAUGCACACUGGCUCUGCACACACACAGAGAGACACACACACACCCUCACAUUCACACACACCCCUCCCCACCCAAAACAUCUCAGCUCCUGUUAGCAGUUCUCAGGAUCCUCAGUUAAUAAUUAGAUGAUAAUGAAAAAGGUUUAAGACGAAGCACCCUUUUCACUCUCUGAGUGGAUUAGCAUGAGUGCUAUGCUAAUGUUUUCCCUUCCUUCCACACAGAAGCUGCAGAUGAGCAAAGGGGGAAAGAGAAAAAGCACAAAAGCAAAAAAAAGUAGAAGGUUAAUUUAGGAAUAAAUAAAUGCUUAACAAAGAACAAUUAGUCAUUAUGGAAGAGGGGAAACAGAGUCUCUAUUUGAACGAGAAUGACAUCGUCUGUGAAUAACAAUCCACUUGCUGUAUAAUUAAUUGUAUAUUAUCUAUGGCUUUUAUACCGUCUUCAAAGUAGGUUCUGCAGGAACCUGUCUAAGUAAUGGAGACCAGACAAGUCAUCUUAUAUACAGACAGAAUUAGACAGCAGUGCUGCUGCAGCUGCUGGAUUCAUCUCCACACACACACACACACACACACACACACACACACACACACACACACACACACACACACACACACACACACACACACACACACACACACACACACACACACACACACACACA
Molecule: long non-coding RNA, 3561 nt
Organism: Amphiprion ocellaris (clown anemonefish)
Lineage: Eukaryota; Metazoa; Chordata; Actinopteri; Pomacentridae
Exons: 2
Source: RefSeq, a predicted model, not a curated record